CAACAGCUCAAAUUUGAAAUCUGGCCUCUUCGGGGUCCGAGUUGUAAUUUGUAGAGGAUGUUUCGGGUACCGCCUCGGUUUAAAUUUCUUGGAACAGAAUGUCAGAGAGGGUGAGAAUCCCGUCUUGGACCGGCGGUAGGGCCCAUGUGAAACUCCUUCGACGAGUCGAGUUGUUUGGGAAUGCAGCUCAAAAUGGGUGGUAAAUUUCAUCUAAAGCUAAAUAUUGGCCAGAGACCGAUAGCGCACAAGUAGAGUGAUCGAAAGAUGAAAAGAACUUUGAAAAGAGAGUUAAACAGUAUGUGAAAUUGUUGAAAGGGAAGCGCUUACAACCAGACUUGAGCGCGGCGGUUCCCCCUUCCUUUUGGUUGGGUUACUCCGCCGUGUCCAGGCCAACAUCGGUUCUGGGGGUCGGUUAAAGGCCUGGGGAAUGUAUCUACUCCUUCGGGGGUAGACUUAUAGCCCCGGGUGUCAUGCGACCACCCGGGACCGAGGAACGCGCUUCGGCUCGGAUGUUGGCGUAAUGGUUGUCAGCGACCCGUCUUGAAACACGGACCAAGGAGUCUAACAUCUAUGCGAGUGUUUGGGUGUCAAACCCGGAACGCGAAAUGAAAGUGAACGGAGGUAGGAAGCCUUUAGGCUGCACUAUCGACCGAUCCUGAUGUCUUCGGAUGGAUUUGAGUAAGAGCAUAGCUGUUGGGACCCGAAAGAUGGUGAAC
RNAcentral lists this ribosomal RNA (716 nucleotides) under Exophiala oligosperma. RNAcentral describes it as "eukaryotic LSU rRNA". It matches the Rfam family "Eukaryotic large subunit ribosomal RNA", at positions 102 to 831 of the family's 3401-position model. Lineage: Eukaryota; Fungi; Ascomycota; Eurotiomycetes; Chaetothyriales; Herpotrichiellaceae. The record is from RNAcentral.